RNAcentral lists this ribosomal RNA (468 nucleotides) under uncultured bacterium. Its description in RNAcentral is "partial 16S ribosomal RNA". It matches the Rfam family "Bacterial small subunit ribosomal RNA", at positions 28 to 507 of the family's 1533-position model. The record is from RNAcentral.
GACGAACGCUGGCGGCGUGCUUAACACAUGCAAGUCGAACGGAAAGGCCCUGCUUUUGUGGGGUGCUCGAGUGGCGAACGGGUGAGUAACACGUGAGUAACCUGCCCUUGACUUUAGGAUAACUUCAGGAAACUGGGGCUAAUACCGGAUAGGAGCUCCUGCUGCAUGGUGGGGGUUGGAAAGUUUCGGCGGUUGGGGAUGCACUCGCGGCUCAUCAGCUUGUUGGUGGGGUCGUGGCUUACCAAGGCUUUGACGGGUAGCCGGCCUGAGAGGGUGACCGGCCACAGUGGGACUGAGAUACGGCCCAGACUCCUACGGGAGGCAGCAGUGGGGAAUAUUGCACAAUGGGCGGAAGCCUGAUGCAGCAACGCCGCGUGCGGGAUGACGGCCUUCGGGUUGUAAACCGCUUUCGCCUGUGACGAAGCGUGAGUGACGGUAAUGGGUAAAGAAGCACCGGCUAACUACGUG